Molecule: ribosomal RNA, 497 nt
Filed under: uncultured bacterium
Lineage: Bacteria
Description: partial 16S ribosomal RNA
Rfam family: Bacterial small subunit ribosomal RNA
Source: RNAcentral
GAUGAACGCUGGCGGCGUGCCUAAUACAUGCAAGUCGAGCGAACAGACGAGGAGCUUGCUCCUCUGACGUUAGCGGCGGACGGGUGAGUAACACGUGGAUAACCUACCUAUAAGACUGGGAUAACUUCGGGAAACCGGAGCUAAUACCGGAUAAUAUAUUGAACCGCAUGGUUCAAUAGUGAAAGACGGUUUUGCUGUCACUUAUAGAUGGAUCCGCGCCGCAUUAGCUAGUUGGUAAGGUAACGGCUUACCAAGGCAACGAUGCGUAGCCGACCUGAGAGGGUGAUCGGCCACACUGGAACUGAGACACGUUCCAGACUCCUACGGGAGGCAGCAGUAGGGAAUCUUCCGCAAUGGGCGAAAGCUUGACGGAGCAACGCCGCGUGAGUGAUGAAGGUCUUCUGAUCGUAAAACUCUGUUAUUAGGGAAGAACAAAUGUGUAAGUAACUAUGCACGUCUUGACGGUACCUAAUCAGAAAGCCACGGCUAGCUACGUG